AGGAAUCUGCCUAUUAGUGGGGGACAACAUUUCGAAAGGAAUGCUAAUACCGCAUACGUCCUACGGGAGAAAGCAGGGGAUCUUCGGACCUUGCGCUAAUAGAUGAGCCUAAGUCGGAUUAGCUAGUUGGUGGGGUAAAGGCCUACCAAGGCGACGAUCUGUAGCGGGUCUGAGAGGAUGAUCCGCCACACUGGGACUGAGACACGGCCCAGACUCCUACGGGAGGCAGCAGUGGGGAAUAUUGGACAAUGGGCGGAAGCCUGAUCCAGCCAUGCCGCGUGUGUGAAGAAGGCCUUAUGGUUGUAAAGCACUUUAAGCGAGGAGGAGGCUACUCUAGUUAAUACCUAGGGAUAGUGGACGUUACUCGCAGAAUAAGCACCGGCUAACUCUGUGCCAGCAGCCGCGGUAAUACAGAGGGUGCAAGCGUUAAUCGGAUUUACUGGGCGUAAAGCGCGCGUAGGCGGCUAAUUAAGUCAAAUGUGAAAUCCCCGAGCUUAACUUGGGAACUGCAUUCGAUACUGGUUAGCUAGAGUGUGGGAGAGGAUGGUAGAAUUCCAGGU
RNAcentral lists this ribosomal RNA (560 nucleotides) under uncultured bacterium. RNAcentral describes it as "bacterial SSU rRNA". It matches the Rfam family "Bacterial small subunit ribosomal RNA", at positions 119 to 674 of the family's 1533-position model. The record is from RNAcentral.